CUCUUUCUUUCCUUUCUUCUUUUCUUUCUUCCUCUUUUCUCUCAUUCACGCACGUAGCAAUUCUCCCACUCCCUUUCUUUCCUUUCCAUUUUCUUUCUCCUUUCUUCCUCUCUUCUCCCCUGCACACUGCAACCCCAUUUCUCUCUCACACACACACGCGCUCAAGAGACAGAUCGAGAGAGAGAGAACCACUGAAUGGAAGAGCAAACCGUGAGAGAGAUGAUGCAACCCAAAAGAGAAGAAUAAGAGAAGGAGAAACGGAUUUUUGGCCAUGGGUCUUUGUAAGGAUCGUGUCCGGUAUGAAGACCUUAAUUGCUUCUCUAAUGUAGAGUUCAAGUAACUAGAACACGAGGGAAAUGUUGAAGUCAUGAGUCCUAUGCAGCCAAGGUACUCCGGUCGUAGUUGAUGACGUUGUAAAAGUGUACUUGGGAUAUUAUGACUAAAGCUCGCGGCAACGGUCGUAAUUGGUGGACCACGGGUUGUCCAUUGUCUUAUAGGUUCUGCUUAUGGCUUGUGACGCCUGUGUCACUUGUUGUAUAAGUCAUUUCUGUUAUGUAUUUAUAUUGAGGAAAGACUUAAACAAAUAAAUGAUUAAAUGGCUCUUCUUGUGGUAA
Long non-coding RNA from Alnus glutinosa, 614 nucleotides. RefSeq lists it as uncharacterized. NCBI's taxonomy places the organism in Eukaryota, Viridiplantae, Streptophyta, Magnoliopsida, Fagales, Betulaceae. The record is from RefSeq and is a predicted model, not a curated record. The transcript is spliced from 3 exons.